This 253-nucleotide ribosomal RNA is filed under the name uncultured bacterium. Its description in RNAcentral is "partial 16S ribosomal RNA". It matches the Rfam family "Bacterial small subunit ribosomal RNA", at positions 524 to 776 of the family's 1533-position model. The record is from RNAcentral.
GACGGAGGAGGCAAGCGUUAUCCGGAAUUAUUGGGCGUAAAGCGUCCGCAGGUGGCUAUUCAAGUCUGCUGUCAAAGGUCGGUGCUUAACCCCGGGAAGGCAGUGGAAACUGAAUAGCUAGAGUGCGGUAGGGGCAGAGGGAAUUCCCGGUGUAGCGGUGAAAUGCGUAGAGAUCGGGAAGAACACCAGUGGCGAAAGCGCUCUGCUGGGCCUGCACUGACACUGAGGGACGAAAGAUAGGGGAGUGAAAGGG